GCACUACUGAGGAGUCCAAUUACUAGGACGAAACGACCGUCCAGUGC
Molecule: non-coding RNA, 47 nt
Filed under: Schistosoma mansoni
Lineage: Eukaryota; Metazoa; Platyhelminthes; Trematoda; Strigeidida; Schistosomatidae
Source: RNAcentral